RNAcentral lists this ribosomal RNA (429 nucleotides) under Chloroflexota bacterium. RNAcentral describes it as "Chloroflexi bacterium partial 16S ribosomal RNA". It matches the Rfam family "Bacterial small subunit ribosomal RNA", at positions 355 to 776 of the family's 1533-position model. Lineage: Bacteria; Bacillati; Chloroflexota. The record is from RNAcentral.
UGGGGAAUAUUGCACAAUGGGCGCAAGCCUGAUGCAGCCAUGCCGCGUGUGUGAAGAAGGCCUUCGGGUUGUAAAGCACUUUCAGCGGGGAGGAAGGCGAUAAGGUUAAUAACCUUGUCGAUUGACGUUACCCGCAGAAGAAGCACCGGCUAACUCCGUGCCAGCAGCCGCGGUAAUACGGAGGGUGCAAGCGUUAAUCGGAAUUACUAGGCGUAAAGCGCACGCAGGCGGUCUGUCAAGUCGGAUGUGAAAUCCCCGGGCUCAACCUGGGAACUGCAUUCGAAACUGGCAGGCUAGAGUCUUGUAGAGGGGGGUAGAAUUCCAGGUGUAGCGGUGAAAUGCGUAGAGAUCUGGAGGAAUACCGGUGGCGAAGGCGGCCCCCUGGACAAAGACUGACGCUCAGGUGCGAAAGCGUGGGGAGCAAACAGG